This 460-nucleotide ribosomal RNA is filed under the name uncultured bacterium. Its description in RNAcentral is "partial 16S ribosomal RNA". It matches the Rfam family "Bacterial small subunit ribosomal RNA", at positions 338 to 795 of the family's 1533-position model. The record is from RNAcentral.
CCUACGGGAGGCAGCAGUGAGGAAUAUUGGUCAAUGGGCGCGAGCCUGAACCAGCCAAGUAGCGUGAAGGAUGACUGCCCUACGGGUUGUAAACUUCUUUUAUAAAGGAAUAAAGUGAAGCACGUGUGCCUUUUUGUAUGUACUUUAUGACUAAGGAUCGGCUAACUCCGUGCCAGCAGCCGCGGUAAUACGGAGGAUCCGAGCGUUAUCCGGAUUUAUUGGGUUUAAAGGGAGCGUAGAUGGGUUGUUAAGUCAGUGGUGAAAGUUUGCGGCUCAACCGUAAAAUUGCAAUUGAUACUGGCAGGCUUGAGUACAGAUGAGGUAGGCGGAAUUCGUGGUGUAGCGGUGAAAUGCUUAGAUAUCACGAAGAACACCGAUUGCGAAGGCAGCUUACUAAACUGCAACUGACAGUGAUGCUCGAAAGUGUGGGUAUCAAACAGGAUUAGAUACCCGAGUAGUC